GACGAACGCUGGCGGCGUGCCUAAUACAUGCAAGUCGAGCGGACCGAACAGGAGCUUGCUCUUGUUCGGUUAGCGGCGGACGGGUGAGUAACACGUGGGUAACCUGCCCGUAAGACCGGGAUAACUCCGGGAAACCGGAGCUAAUACCGGAUAACACCGAAGACCGCAUGGUCUUUGGUUGAAAGGCGGCUUCGGCUGCCACUUACGGAUGGGCCCGCGGCGCAUUAGCUAGUUGGUGAGGUAACGGCUCACCAAGGCGACGAUGCGUAGCCGGCCUGAGGGGGUGACCGGCCACACUGGGACUGAGACACGGCCCAGACUCCUACGGGAGGCAGCAGUAGGGAAUCUUCCGCAAUGGACGAAAGUCUGACGGAGCGACGCCGCGUGAGCGAAGAAGGUCUUCGGAUCGUAAAGCUCUGUUGUUAGGGAAGAAGAAGCGUCGUUCGAACAGGGCGGCGCGGUGACGGUACCUAACGAGAAAGCCCCGGCUAACUACGUG
RNAcentral lists this ribosomal RNA (499 nucleotides) under uncultured bacterium. RNAcentral describes it as "partial 16S ribosomal RNA". It matches the Rfam family "Bacterial small subunit ribosomal RNA", at positions 28 to 507 of the family's 1533-position model. The record is from RNAcentral.